GACGAACGCUGGCGGCGUGCUUAACACAUGCAAGUCGAACGGAAAGGCCCUGCUUUUGUGGGGUGCUCGAGUGGCGAACGGGUGAGUAACACGUGAGUAACCUGCCCUUGACUUUGGGAUAACUUCAGGAAACUGGGGCUAAUACCGGAUAGGAGCUCCUGCUGCAUGGUGGGGGUUGGAAAGUUUCGGCGGUUGGGGAUGGACUCGCGGCUUAUCAGCUUGUUGGUGGGGUAGUGGCUUACCAAGGCUUUGACGGGUAGCCGGCCUGAGAGGGUGACCGGCCACAUUGGGACUGAGAUACGGCCCAGACUCCUACGGGAGGAAGCAGUGGGGAAUAUUGCCCAAUGGGCGGAAGCCGGAUGCGGCAACGCCGCGUGCGGGAUGACGGCCUUCGGUUUGUAAACCGCUUUCGCCUGUGACGAAGCGUGAGUGACGGUAAUGGGUAAAGAAGCACCGGCUAACUACGUG
RNAcentral lists this ribosomal RNA (468 nucleotides) under uncultured bacterium. RNAcentral describes it as "partial 16S ribosomal RNA". It matches the Rfam family "Bacterial small subunit ribosomal RNA", at positions 28 to 507 of the family's 1533-position model. The record is from RNAcentral.